GGGAGGCAGCAGUGGGGAAUAUUGCACAAUGGAGGAAACUCUGAUGCAGCCAUGCCGCGUGCAGGAUGAAGGCCCUAUGGGUUGUAAACUGCUUUUUUACAAGAAGAAACCUUGGUACGUGUACCAACUUGACGGUAUUGUAAGAAUAAGCACCGGCUAACUCCGUACCAGCAGCCGCGGUAAUACGGAGGGUGCAAGCGUUAUCCGGAUUUAUUAGGUUUAAAGGGUUCGCAGGCGGAAUUUUAAGUCAGUGGUGAAAGCCUACAGCUCAACUGUAGAACUGCCAUUGAAACUGAUAUUCUUGAGUAUAGAUGAAGUGGGCGGAAUAUGUCAUGUAGCGGUGAAAUGCAUAGAUAUGACAUGGAACACCAAUUGCGAAGGCAGCUCACUAAACUAUUACUGACGCUCAUGAACGAAAGCGUGGGGAGCAAACAGGAUUAGAUACCCUGGUAGUCCACGCCGUAAACUAUGAUCACUAGAUGUUGGCGAUAUAUUGUCAGUGUUUUAGAGAAAUCGUUAAGUGAUCCACCUGGGGAGUACGUUCGCAAGAAUGAAACUCAAAGGAAUUGACGGGGGCCCGCACAAGCGGAGGAGCAUGUGGUUUAAUUCGAUGAUACGCGAGGAACCUUACCAAGACUUAAAUGUAUUUUGACAGGUUGAGAAAUCAACUUUUCUUCGGACAAUUUACAAGGUGCUGCAUGGUUGUCGUCAGCUCGUGCCGUGAGGUGUCGGGUUAAGUCCCAUAACGAGCGCAACCCCUAUUUUUAGUUACCAGCGAGUCAUGUCGGGAACUCUAGAAAGACUGCCUGUGUAAACAGUGAGGAAGGUGGGGAUGACGUCAAAUCAUCACGGCCCUUAUGUCUUGGGCUACACACGUGCUACAAUGGUCACUACAGUGGGCUGCCAUCUGGCAACAGAGAGCAAAUCCAUAAAGGUGAUCCCAGUUCGGAUCGGAGUCUGCAACUCGACUCUGUGAAGUUGGAUUCGCUAGUAAUCGUAUAUCAGCAAUGAUACGGUGAAUACGUUCCCGGGCCUUGUACACACCGCCCGUCAAGCCAUGGAAGUUUGUGGUGCCUGAAGUCAGUAACCGUAAGGAUCUGCCUAGGGUAAAACAGAUAACUAGGGCU
This 1127-nucleotide ribosomal RNA is filed under the name uncultured Bacteroidota bacterium. Its description in RNAcentral is "bacterial SSU rRNA". It matches the Rfam family "Bacterial small subunit ribosomal RNA", at positions 343 to 1482 of the family's 1533-position model. The record is from RNAcentral. Lineage: Bacteria; Pseudomonadati; Bacteroidota.